GCCUGGUGUGGUGGUGCACGCCGGUAGUCCCAGCUACCUGGGGGGCUGAGGCAGAAGAAUUGCUUGAAUCCAGGAGGUCUAGGCUGCAGUGAGCCAAGAUUGUGCCACUGCACCCCAACCUGGGCAACAGAGCGAUACCCUGUCUCAA
Papio anubis (olive baboon) is the source of this 148-nucleotide unclassified non-coding RNA. It matches the Rfam family "Metazoan signal recognition particle RNA". From Rfam's summary of the family: The signal recognition particle (SRP) is a universally conserved ribonucleoprotein. The record is from Ensembl. NCBI's taxonomy places the organism in Eukaryota, Metazoa, Chordata, Mammalia, Primates, Cercopithecidae.